RNAcentral lists this long non-coding RNA (128 nucleotides) under Parus major (Great Tit). Its description in RNAcentral is "lncRNA (ENSPMJG00000006525.1)". Lineage: Eukaryota; Metazoa; Chordata; Aves; Passeriformes; Paridae. The record is from RNAcentral.
CUGAACUCUGCAGGUGGAUGGCUCUGGGAAUCCCUGAGGGUGGGGAGGCGGUGGGAAGGUGCCUCCAGCAUCCCCAGGCAGGGUGGAUGAGGCUCCCAGAGCAUCUCAACGAGCUGUUUGCAAAUUAU